RNAcentral lists this non-coding RNA (157 nucleotides) under Alphaproteobacteria bacterium. RNAcentral's name for it is "6S RNA". It matches the Rfam family "6S / SsrS RNA". From Rfam's summary of the family: E. coli 6S RNA was the first non coding RNA to be sequenced, but its function was unknown until recently. Lineage: Bacteria; Pseudomonadati; Pseudomonadota; Alphaproteobacteria. The record is from RNAcentral.
AGGCGGCUGCAGCUGUACGUGAUGGCAGCACUGUCCCAGAGGCCGAUGCGAAUCGCUAGGGAGCUGUCCCUGGCCGGACCGUGGUUCGGCUAUAUGGCGCCCACCUGUAACACAGGGCCUAGCGGAUAACCCCGCCCACGGCGCACGUGGCUGUCUU